UUGUUGGAGAGUUUGAUCCUGGCUCAGGACGAACGCUGGCGGCGUGCUUAAUACAUGCAAGUCGAACGAGGUCCAUCCGAUCUUCGGAUUGGUGAAGACCUAGUGGCGAACGGGUGCGUAACACGUGAGAAACCUGCCCCGGUCUCUGGAAUAACAGUUGGAAACGACUGCUAAUACCGGAUGCCGUCGGACCAUCGCAUGAUGGAUCGACGAAAGGGUUACCGGACCGGGAGGGUCUCGCGGCCUAUCAGCUUGUUGGUGAGGUAACGGCUCACCAAGGCAUCGACGGGUAGCUGGUCUGAGAGGAUGGUCAGCCACACUGGGACUGAGACACGGCCCAGACUCCUACGGGAGGCAGCAGUAGGGAAUAUUGCACAAUGGGCGAAAGCCUGAUGCAGCAACGCCGCGUGCGGGAAGAAGGCCCUAGGGUUGUAAACCGCUUUCAGCAGGGAAGAAAAUGACGGUACCUGCAGAAGAAGGUGCGGCCAACUACGUGCCAGCAGCCGCGGUGACACGUAGGCACCAAGCGUUGUCCGGAUUUAUUGGGCGUAAAGAGCUCGUAGGCGGUUCAGUUAGUCGGGUGUGAAAACUCUGGGCUUAACCCAGAGACGCCACUCGAUACUGCUGUGACUAGAGUGCGGUAGGGGAGCGGGGAAUUCCUAGUGUAGCGGUGAAAUGCGCAGAUAUUAGGAGGAACACCAGUGGCGAAGGCGCCGCUCUGGGCCGUAACUGACGCUGAGGAGCGAAAGCGUGGG
This 755-nucleotide ribosomal RNA is filed under the name Ilumatobacteraceae bacterium. RNAcentral describes it as "bacterial SSU rRNA". It matches the Rfam family "Bacterial small subunit ribosomal RNA", at positions 1 to 765 of the family's 1533-position model. Lineage: Bacteria; Bacillati; Actinomycetota; Acidimicrobiia; Acidimicrobiales; Ilumatobacteraceae. The record is from RNAcentral.